GACUCAGUGGUCGAUUGGUAAAGCGCUCGUCGCGGAAACAGAGGAUCCUGGGUUCGAUCCCCAAUGGGGUCG
RNAcentral lists this transfer RNA (72 nucleotides) under Schistosoma japonicum. RNAcentral's name for it is "tRNA-Pro". The record is from RNAcentral. Lineage: Eukaryota; Metazoa; Platyhelminthes; Trematoda; Strigeidida; Schistosomatidae.